AGGGCACCACCAGGAGUGGAGCCUGCGGCUUAAUUUGACUCAACACGGGAAAACUUACCCGGCCCGGACACUGGAAGGAUUGACAGAUUGAGAGCUCUUUCUUGAUUCAGUGGGUGGUGGUGCAUGGCCGUUCUUAGUUGGUGGAGCGAUUUGUCUGGUUAAUUCCGAUAACGAACGAGACUCUAGCCUACUAAAUAGACCAGAGGCUUCUUAAAACACGUCUCUGGCUGCUUCUUAGAGGGACAGGCGGCGAUUCAGCCGCACGAAACAGAGCAAUAACAGGUCUGUGAUGCCCUUAGAUGUCCGGGGCCGCACGCGCGCUACACUGAAGUGAUCAGCGUGCUUUCUGUACCCUGCUCUGCCAAGAGUGGGUAACCCAAUGAACCUUCUUCGUGAUUGGGAUAGGGGAUUGUAAUUAUUCCCCUUGAACGAGGAAUUCCCAGUAAGCGCGAGUCAUAAGCUCGCGUUGAUUACGUCCCUGCCCUUUGUACACACCGCCCGUCGCUACUACCGAUUGAA
This 519-nucleotide ribosomal RNA is filed under the name uncultured eukaryote. RNAcentral's name for it is "SSU rRNA". It matches the Rfam family "Eukaryotic small subunit ribosomal RNA", at positions 1161 to 1693 of the family's 1831-position model. The record is from RNAcentral.